Molecule: long non-coding RNA, 217 nt
Organism: Fukomys damarensis (Damara mole-rat)
Lineage: Eukaryota; Metazoa; Chordata; Mammalia; Rodentia; Bathyergidae
Exons: 3
Source: RefSeq, a predicted model, not a curated record
CCCGGCUGCAGGGCGCUCGCCUUCCUCCCUCCCGGAUCCAGGCGCUUCAGGCUGGGUGGCGACGGAGCCCAGGAGCUCCUGCCCGAGCCGACCUGCCCCCUCCUCUCCCAGGGCCACUGACCAGAGGAAAUCAAAACUGAACUGACUGAGCUCUGAUGUGGAGUAGCCAGUGGGGUCUUCCGAUGCAGUUCAGGGUGGCCUUCAACUUGCAGUGAUC